Molecule: ribosomal RNA, 371 nt
Filed under: Phyllomedusa bicolor (two-colored leaf frog)
Lineage: Eukaryota; Metazoa; Chordata; Amphibia; Anura; Hylidae
Description: partial 12S ribosomal RNA
Source: RNAcentral
UAUAAUCAAUUAACACUUAACUUACACAUGCAAGUCUCAGCACCCCUGUGAGAACGCCCUAAAAUUCCCACUGGAACAAGGAGCCGGUAUCAGGCACACUUUUAUAGCCCAAAACACCUAGCUAUGCCACAUCCUCAAGGAACCUCAGCAGUGAUUAAUAUUGAAUAUAUGCGACAGCUAGAUUCAGUUAAAGUGAUUAGAGUCGGCAAAAUUGGUGCCAGCCGCCGCGGUUAUACCCAUCGACUCAAAUUGAUUUAUUUCGGCGUAAAGCGUGAUUAAAGUUAUUCAAAAUUAAAAUUAAACCUACAUUAAGCUGUAACACGCUUGUGAUUGGGAAACUCAAAAACUAAAGUUAUUUAACUAUCUCAACU